RNAcentral lists this long non-coding RNA (325 nucleotides) under Vigna radiata. RNAcentral describes it as "long non-coding RNA (VRAD_LNC016635)". Lineage: Eukaryota; Viridiplantae; Streptophyta; Magnoliopsida; Fabales; Fabaceae. The record is from RNAcentral.
CCAAAAAAAAUUUGAAAAGUCCAAGUCUGGAAGAAUGCAAAUGACGGCUGCAACUAGCUAUUUUCCUUCCACCUCAAAUGUAAAUUCAUAGCAUUAAAAGCUUUGUCUCCCAACCACCACCGUGAUGUACAGCUCUCCCUAGAUGUGGGCCCUCAUUCUUCAAUUAAAAGAAAAGUAUUUCUUCAUCCCAUGAAACCAAAUUCAUACACUUGAAAGAUACCGUCAACAACUUUGCUCUAGACGCCCCUCUCGGCAAACGUUCCUGCAACCCCUUUUUUUUUAUUGACUUUGCAAAGAGAAAUUAUUACUUCUUCAAGCAAUGCUA